Molecule: long non-coding RNA, 3557 nt
Organism: Entelurus aequoreus (snake pipefish)
Lineage: Eukaryota; Metazoa; Chordata; Actinopteri; Syngnathiformes; Syngnathidae
Exons: 6
Source: RefSeq, a predicted model, not a curated record
UUCAUUUAUUUUUUCAAUUUCUCUUUUUUUUCCGUUAUAUUAUGUUUUAUAUCUUCAUUUCUUUUAUUUCUUUGUCAUCUUAAUAAAUAUAUAUCUUUCAUUUCUUAUGCUAGUUGACAAUAAUAAAAGGCAUUUCUUUUAAACGUAACAUAUUCUCUUUAUUAUUAAGGAAGACGUUAUCAACAUGUACAGCAAGCAACAAACUUGACCAAACAAAAAAGCACAAAUAGUAUCACUGUUCACCAAUCAGGUUACAUAAUGUGGGCUUCAUAUGACAAAGGGUACAUUAUGUUGUAUGAGAUGAUACAAGAGAGUGGAUCAACAUUGUCCACAAAGUAGAAAGUUGAGAACCAUUUUUGUUUACAUUUUCAUACAGAAAAUUUAUACAGUAAUGUCAAACUGUAACAUCAAACAGCAAACUCUAACAGAAGUACAGAAACAAUGAUCAUCGUAUAAAAAAGGCAAUGAUGCAAGAGAGAAUGGAUUUGUAAUCCUGUGUUGGUUUUACAUAAAGUUUCAAUGUCACUAGUCAAUAUCACAGUCACUUCCUAUUUGUAGUUGUAGACUGGGGUCCGCGCUUUGAACCAAGAUCUGUUAAGUUUCCUACGCUUUGAGUCAAGCUUUGCUGAGCUUUGUCACGCUUUGAUACGCUCUCGGCGCUUUAUUCCAUUCUUGACAGAGCGCCGAAUUUUUUUAAACCGUUUAAAAAAUGUUGGCGAUCUUGCCGCAUGUCCCGCUUCACUACAAGCUUUCCCACGAUCCAUUACGACCCUCACGCUUUAAUCCCGCUUUGUUACGCUUUAACGCCGCUUUGCAUGCCACUUUAAAGCGCCGUUGGUGUGAACCUAGCAUUAAUGAACAAUGGAGGCAGCAAAGAAGAAAGCUGUAGGUGGGAAGCGGUGUAUUGCCACCGGAUGUAGUAAGACAAACACAGCCGGUGUUUCAUUGUUUACAUUCCCGAAAGACGACAGUCAAGCUUUACUAUGGAACAGAGAGGUCAAGCGAACACGGUUGGAUUGGACCACACACGCAAAGUACAGUGUAUUAUGAAGCGAACAUUUUGAAAAAUCGUGUUUCGAAGAGGGUCCCUUGCGAAGGGUAGAGAUGGGCAUCGCCACCACCCGUCGACUGAUGCUGAAGAAAGGUGCCAGGCCAACUAUUUUCAACAGACCACGGCCAGGCCAUCAGUGGCAGUGUCACUGUCAGUGCUCCCAGUGCCAGUGCUUCCACAAGUUCAGACCACUCCACAAGUGGACUGACCGUGCACAUGAGGUCUGCAUUUGCCAAAAGGGAAAGGAAGAGGACAAUAGAUCAGAUCAUGGCCAGUACGACUACGGCAUCAGUGGCGGAUGCGGUGGAUGAACCAAUGGCAAUGGCACUAGAUUUGCCUGAUGAGGAGGGCGAUCAAGAUCAGGGAAAUACAAGAGAACAAGGAUGCCAGACGGACUGGUACCGAUUGGGACAGCACCAACCAAUGACUAGUAGCAAGAGAACCCACACAGGGAAAAUACAUCAUAGAUGAAAGGGACACCAGGUGACCCCAGAGAUCCUCGAGAGGAUUAGAGCUCGGCCAGCCAGGGUUAGUGAAGUCCCAUCGUCAAGUGUAGCAGCUCCACCUGACAGCCCCGAGAUGCAGCCCAACAUCGCAACUCCAGGUGCGUCUGGAAUGCAAGCCAAGCUACGACCACCUCCUGCAUUGUUUGAUGAAGGACCAGCAUCAAGUCCCGCUGCGCCUUCUGUUAGUGGUUCUUCCGAUGACAGCUAUGUGCCGAGUGGGUCAUCGACAUCGGAUCCGUGUCAAUCUGACGGGUCGCCAGAUUCCCAAGAUGCGGGAAGAAGGCUGCCACAAGGAACCGAAGUACAUCAUCUUUGAGUCGUGCCUCCAGAGUCUUGUCAAGUGGUGUCACUGUCCAGCCUGUGGCAGCCAGGACAUAAGCCCUUCUUGGGAUUCGAACGGUACACCGCUGACCAUGACUAUACAAUGUGCAUCAUGUGACCAGAAGAGUAGGUGGAGCAGCCAGCCAAACAUCGGCCCUUAUGCCGCGGUUUAGGCAUCUUGGUGAGAAAGAUUGCAAACAAUUCUGCCAUGGUGUUAAAAUUAAAAACAAAACCGCUUCAUUAUUGCAGGAGAUCAAGCUUUAAUAGCUGAAUAUAAACAGUUUAAUACACAAACAUUUGUAUUCAAAUUUACAAACAAUUUAUAAAUUUACACACACAUUGUAGGGACGCAUGACUGAAUAAAGUGUCUUUUAUCUUAUACAGUUUGCACCGAAAAUGUAUGUCUUCUCAUACAUCGGAAUGCUGUGCAGGAACCUGCUUGCUGGGCUGCACUGGAAUGAAAACUCCAGCCGCCCUAUAGCCACCACACAAGCGGGUGCUGAGCGCUACGCAGUACGCUACCCGAAGUAUAAAGCAGGGGGCCAUGUGGUCAAGAAAAUUGCGACAGAGCCAGAGGACACAAAACAUGCUACGUAGAUGACUUGAUCAGGGAGGUUGUUGCUGGCUGCUGACAGACCCCUGACGAGAGAACACCAGUCAGCGUCACCGUGGAUGUGCCUCCCUUCCUCUGCGAUGAACUGGAGAAGCCAGACAAGGAGGAAGCCAUCGCUAAGCAUUAAUAACUACAGUGUCCAUGUGGAUUCUGUUGCAGUCACUGCACGUCUUGGAACCCAGUGUAGUCCAUCGAUGGAAAUGUUGUUCUAAUCUUAUGUACUACACAAGCUGGUAGUGCCACCCUUAUCUCCUUUCCCAGAUAUCCCCAGCAGAAGCGGACAAACUGUCGAUAUGCUGUGUAUCGUCUCCGCCUGCAAGUACAAAAUAGUUGAUAGCAAAUUAUGGCACCUGUUAUUAUCCAGACAUGGAUACACAGUGACUCACUGUUCUCUGAGAUGCAAAAGACAUUGUCAUGCAUUCUAUUCAUUUGUCAUUUACUGAUGCAGUAAAUUGUAAAUAUGCUUGACAUCUACGGUCCAUGUACACUACCGUUCAAAAGUUUGGGGUAACCCAAACAAUUUUGUGGAAUAGCCUUCAUUUCUAAGAACAAGAAUAGACUGUCGAGUUUCAGAUGAAAGUUCUCUUUUUCUGGCCAUUUUGAGCGUUUAAUUGGCCCCACAAAUGUGAUGCUCCAGAAACUCAAUCUGCUCAAAGGAAGGUCAGUUUUGUAGCUUCUGUAACGAGCUAAACUGUUUUCAGAUGUGUGAACAUGAUUGCACAAGGGUUUUCUAAUCAUCAAUUAGCCUUCUGAGCCAAUGAGCAAACACAUUGUACCAUUAGAACACUGGAGUGAUAGUUGCUGGAAAUGGGCCUCUAUACACCUGUGUAGAUAUUGCACCAAAAACCAGACAUUUGCAGCUAGAAUAGUCAUUUACCACAUUAGCAAUGUAUAGAGUGUAUUUCUUUAAAGUUAAGACUAGUUUAAAGUUAUCUUCAUUGAAAAGUACAGUGCUUUUCCUUCAAAAAUAAGGACAUUUCAAUGUGACCCCAAACUUUUGAACGGUAGUGUAUGUAAUACUUCUAUGAUAUAUAAUGUUAUGUACAUUGUAGCACAGUACAUUUCA